GCCAGCAUGGUGUAGUGGUUUGAGUGUUGAACUAUGACUCUGGAGUCCAGGGUUCGAUUCCCAGCUUGGCC
Molecule: transfer RNA, 71 nt
Filed under: Phrynosoma platyrhinos (Desert horned lizard)
Lineage: Eukaryota; Metazoa; Chordata; Lepidosauria; Squamata; Phrynosomatidae
Description: tRNA-OTHER
Source: RNAcentral